Molecule: ribosomal RNA, 478 nt
Filed under: uncultured bacterium
Lineage: Bacteria
Description: partial 16S ribosomal RNA
Rfam family: Bacterial small subunit ribosomal RNA
Source: RNAcentral
GACGAACGCUGGCGGCGUGCUUAACACAUGCAAGUCGAACGGGAUUUAGUAGACAGAAGCCUCGGCUAAAGAUUACUAAUGAGAGUGGCGAGCGGGUGAGUAACGCGUGAGCAACCUGCCUAUGACAGUGGGAUAGCCUCGGGAAACCGGGAUUAAUACCGCAUAAAAUCGUAGAAACACAUGUUUUAACGGUCAAAGAUUUAUCGGUCAUAGAUGGGCUCGCGUCUGAUUAGCUAGUUGGUGAGAUAACAGCCCACCAAGGCGACGAUCAGUAGCCGGUCUGAGAGGAUGAACGGCCACAUUGGAACUGAGACACGGUCCAAACUCCUACGGGAGGCAGCAGUGGGGAAUAUUGCACAAUGGGGGAAACCCUGAUGCAGCGACGCCGCGUGAACGAAGAAGGUAUUCGUAUCGUAAAGUUCUGUCCUAUGGGAAGAUAAUGACAGUACCAUAGAAGAAAGCUCCGGCUAAAUACGUG